AUGCACGCUGGCGGCGUGCUUAACACAUGCAAGUCGCACGAAGCACUUUAUUUGAUUUCCUUCGGGACUGAUUAUUUUGUGACUGAGUGGCGGACGGGUGAGUAACGCGUGGGUAACCUGCCUUGUACAGGGGGAUAACAGUUGGAAACGGCUGCUAAUACCGCAUAAGCGCACAGCAUCGCAUGAUGCAGUGUGAAAAACUCCGGUGGUAUAAGAUGGACCCGCGUUGGAUUAGCUAGUUGGUGAGGUAACGGCCCACCAAGGCGACGAUCCAUAGCCGACCUGAGAGGGUGACCGGCCACAUUGGGACUGAGACACGGCCCAAACUCCUACGGGAGGCAGCAGUGGGGAAUAUUGCACAAUGGGCGAAAGCCUGAUGCAGCGACGCCGCGUGAGCGAAGAAGUAUUUCGGUAUGUAAAGCUCUAUCAGCAGGGAGGAUAAUGACGGUACCUGACUAAGAAGCACCGGCUAAAUACGUG
Molecule: ribosomal RNA, 480 nt
Filed under: uncultured bacterium
Lineage: Bacteria
Description: partial 16S ribosomal RNA
Rfam family: Bacterial small subunit ribosomal RNA
Source: RNAcentral